GUGGAGGCUUGCUCUGAAGUGUUUGCAUUGCAAGUGACAUCUGGCUGACAGGAACGUGGAGAAAUGGAAUCCGAAGUGAAUGCUGCAGUUACCACAAGCCUCAUAUUUAUCAAAAGGUUUAAGCUGCAGAAACAGAGAUGGAAACAUGGAGACCAUUGUGAAAUCUUCAAUAAAAAUACAGGUGGCCCUUGUUCAUUUCCUGAAAUUCGAAAUUUCAAUAAACUAGAAAAAUGGAAAACAUUAGCUGAUCUCCUGGAGAAAAAUGCUGUGUAUAUUUAUUUACAAUAGUUUUGAAUGUCUUUUUCAGUUUUGAUAACAGCAUAUUGAUAAUCUGCAAAUAUACAAUUAUAUUAAAAAU
RNAcentral lists this long non-coding RNA (358 nucleotides) under Mus spicilegus (steppe mouse). Its description in RNAcentral is "lncRNA (ENSMSIG00000010577.1)". The record is from RNAcentral. Lineage: Eukaryota; Metazoa; Chordata; Mammalia; Rodentia; Muridae.